Molecule: ribosomal RNA, 1489 nt
Filed under: Lactiplantibacillus argentoratensis
Lineage: Bacteria; Bacillati; Bacillota; Bacilli; Lactobacillales; Lactobacillaceae
Description: bacterial SSU rRNA
Rfam family: Bacterial small subunit ribosomal RNA
Source: RNAcentral
GACGAACGCUGGCGGCGUGCCUAAUACAUGCAAGUCGAACGAACUCUGGUAUUGAUUGGUGCUUGCAUCAUGAUUUACAUUUGAGUGAGUGGCGAACUGGUGAGUAACACGUGGGAAACCUGCCCAGAAGCGGGGGAUAACACCUGGAAACAGAUGCUAAUACCGCAUAACAACUUGGACCGCAUGGUCCGAGCUUGAAAGAUGGCUUCGGCUAUCACUUUUGGAUGGUCCCGCGGCGUAUUAGCUAGAUGGUGGGGUAACGGCUCACCAUGGCAAUGAUACGUAGCCGACCUGAGAGGGUAAUCGGCCACAUUGGGACUGAGACACGGCCCAAACUCCUACGGGAGGCAGCAGUAGGGAAUCUUCCACAAUGGACGAAAGUCUGAUGGAGCAACGCCGCGUGAGUGAAGAAGGGUUUCGGCUCGUAAAACUCUGUUGUUAAAGAAGAACAUAUCUGAGAGUAACUGUUCAGGUAUUGACGGUAUUUAACCAGAAAGCCACGGCUAACUACGUGCCAGCAGCCGCGGUAAUACGUAGGUGGCAAGCGUUGUCCGGAUUUAUUGGGCGUAAAGCGAGCGCAGGCGGUUUUUUAAGUCUGAUGUGAAAGCCUUCGGCUCAACCGAAGAAGUGCAUCGGAAACUGGGAAACUUGAGUGCAGAAGAGGACAGUGGAACUCCAUGUGUAGCGGUGAAAUGCGUAGAUAUAUGGAAGAACACCAGUGGCGAAGGCGGCUGUCUGGUCUGUAACUGACGCUGAGGCUCGAAAGUAUGGGUAGCAAACAGGAUUAGAUACCCUGGUAGUCCAUACCGUAAACGAUGAAUGCUAAGUGUUGGAGGGUUUCCGCCCUUCAGUGCUGCAGCUAACGCAUUAAGCAUUCCGCCUGGGGAGUACGGCCGCAAGGCCGAAACUCAAAGGAAUUGACGGGGGCCCGCACAAGCGGUGGAGCAUGUGGUUUAAUUCGAAGCUACGCGAAGAACCUUACCAGGUCUUGACAUACUAUGCAAAUCUAAGAGAUUAGACGUUCCCUUCGGGGACAUGGAUACAGGUGGUGCAUGGUUGUCGUCAGCUCGUGUCGUGAGAUGUUGGGUUAAGUCCCGCAACGAGCGCAACCCUUAUUAUCAGUUGCCAGCAUUAAGUUGGGCACUCUGGUGAGACUGCCGGUGACAAACCGGAGGAAGGUGGGGAUGACGUCAAAUCAUCAUGCCCCUUAUGACCUGGGCUACACACGUGCUACAAUGGAUGGUACAACGAGUUGCGAACUCGCGAGAGUAAGCUAAUCUCUUAAAGCCAUUCUCAGUUCGGAUUGUAGGCUGCAACUCGCCUACAUGAAGUCGGAAUCGCUAGUAAUCGCGGAUCAGCAUGCCGCGGUGAAUACGUUCCCGGGCCUUGUACACACCGCCCGUCACACCAUGAGAGUUUGUAACACCCAAAGUCGGUGGGGUAACCUUUUAGGAACCAGCCGCCUAAGGUGGGACAGAUGAUUAGGGUG